ACUAGUUAUGACGCCACAAGACCACCAGAUCUGCUUUUCGGUGCAGCUUCAUUUCAACUUUUCACUUCCCUUUUUAAAGCUUUCUCUAAUUGCUUUAAGGACUAGAUCCUUUGCUUCCUGUAAAUUUUCACUCCUUAAGAGUUAAAUUCAGAUAAAUGAUUGCUAUUUCCAUCUAAAAGCACCAAUGAAUGUGAUAUUCUUUUCGGAUCUUUUACUAAUAAAGCUUA
Molecule: long non-coding RNA, 227 nt
Organism: Beta vulgaris subsp. vulgaris (sugar beet)
Lineage: Eukaryota; Viridiplantae; Streptophyta; Magnoliopsida; Caryophyllales; Amaranthaceae
Exons: 2
Source: RefSeq, a predicted model, not a curated record